AUCCCCGCCUCCUCCGGCCCGGCGGGGCCGACGAGUCCGGAGGGGCUGCCGCGGGAGCCCCCAGGUUUCCCUAGAUGACAAAUAAACAUUCCUUUUCCUGCGUGAAGAUCGUUUGUGGAAACCUUGGCCAUGGCAUCGAUAUCAGAGCCUGUUACAUUCAGAGAGUUCUGCCCGUUGUACUAUCUCCUCAAUGCCAUUCCGACAAAGAUCCAGAAGGGUUUCCGCUCUAUCGUGGUCUAUCUCACGGCCCUCGACACCAACGGGGACUACAUCGCGGUGGGCAGCAGCAUCGGCAUGCUCUAUCUGUACUGCCGGCACCUCAACCAGAUGAGGAAGUACAACUUUGAGGGGAAGACGGAAUCUAUCACUGUGGUGAAGCUGCUGAGCUGCUUUGAUGACCUGGUGGCAGCAGGCACAGCCUCUGGCAGGGUUGCAGUUUUUCAACUUGUAUCUUCAUUGCCAGGGAGAAAUAAACAGCUUCGGAGAUUUGAUGUCACUGGUAUUCACAAAAAUAGCAUUACAGCUCUGGCUUGGAGCCCCAAUGGAAUGAAAUUGUUCUCUGGAGAUGACAAAGGCAAAAUUGUUUAUUCUUCUCUGGAUCUAGACCAGGGGCUCUGUAACUCCCAGCUGGUGUUGGAGGAGCCGUCUUCCAUUGUGCAGCUGGAUUAUAGCCAGAAGGUGCUGCUGGUCUCUACUCUGCAAAGAAGUCUGCUCUUUUACACUGAAGAAAAGUCUGUAAGGCAAAUUGGAACACAACCAAGGAAAAGGACUUUGUAAGCAAAGUGAUCUAACCUUGUAUGCGUCACGGCCCGGGCUCCGGCUAUGGAAGGCUGAUGUCCACGGGACUGUUCAAGCCACAUUUAUCUUAAAAGAUGCUUUUGCCGGGGGAGUCAAGCCUUUUGAACUGCACCCGCGUCUGGAAUCCCCCAACAGUGGAAGUUGCAGCUUACCUGAGAGGCACCUGGGGCUUGUUUCAUGUUUCUUUCAAGAAGGCUGGGUGCUGAGUUGGAAUGAAUAUAGUAUCUAUCU
This 1029-nucleotide small RNA is filed under the name Pan troglodytes (chimpanzee). RNAcentral's name for it is "processed transcript". Lineage: Eukaryota; Metazoa; Chordata; Mammalia; Primates; Hominidae. The record is from RNAcentral.